Molecule: long non-coding RNA, 3781 nt
Organism: Homo sapiens (human)
Lineage: Eukaryota; Metazoa; Chordata; Mammalia; Primates; Hominidae
Exons: 2
Source: RefSeq, a predicted model, not a curated record
UUGGCAGCCAGCUAUUGUGAGGUAAACCCUGUGGAUGAAGAGGUCCAGCUGCUGGCUGCGUCCGCUGUCUGAGUUCUGCAUGCACUGAAGGACCUAGAAGAGAUUCUUUCACAGGCAAAGGCAGUUUACAGAAAAUAAGAUUGGGAAAUGAGGUAGACCAGAUGUGGAGGCGAUGGGCGAUCCAUGAAAAGGGUAAGAGCCACAGAAAAAAGCUCACAGAAGAGAUUAGUUAAAAGAAAACUCUUCAAUUUAAAGAGGUAAAUAAGGAAUAUCAAGUGCUUUAAAAAGAUUUCUCACUCCAGAAAUUACCUCUGCAACCACAGAGUGUAUUUCGGCAGUACCUUCCUUAAGGAUUUCUCACCCCAGAAAUUACCUUUACAACCACAGAGUGUAUUUUGGCAAUACCUUCCUUUUUAUCUGAAAGUGGCAGGCACUGGCCUUUCUUCACGAGACCUCUGCUUAUCCAUAAGGCAGAAACUCUGAUGCCAUUUCCACAUUGUCUCUCUCCAAGAACACGCAAGCCUGGUGGCAGGUUUGAUUUUCAAGCAGCUUAUGUGUGUAAGACAGAUGCUUCUCCAUUCCUCGAAGGUCCUUCUAGUUCUCUUUAAAUUACUGUUUUCUCUGUCGCCGUGUCAUGUGGAGGAAGGAUGACAGAGGGCAAAAGGAUGCAUCCGAGUGAGAGCCAAGGGGCCAGGCAUGCGGGGCGCUUUUGGUACCAGCUCAGGAGAUUGACAGUUUGCUUCCACAGCUCCAGAUUCCUGGGUCUGGGUCUCUCUUAGCAACCACAGCUUCCAGGUGGACCAGCAGGAUGAAAAGGACUUUGAUCUUGCAAACUCAAGCUUAACUUCCCGCUGAAAGCAAUGGCAUGUGAAAACAGGCCAAAUGAUUCACGACUGUUUCUUGUUCCCAGAUUUCAUUCUAAGGGGAUGCUUCUGGGUGCUCUAGCUCAGCUCCUGGUUUUUCUUUUAGUAGUAAGAGCCUCAGACAAAAAGCUCACUGGCUAACUCUCUGCAGAAAGAUGAAUUUGCAUGGGAAGGUACAAGCAGAACAUGCACAGUGUCCUAGUCUAAGAGAACCACUGCCCUCAAAUGACCUCCUUAUAGUCAAUCAGUUAACAGUGUUUCAUGAACACCAGCAAGAUAGCGAAAGGUAAAUCCCAUUAAGUUUUCAAAACAAUGACCUAAGUAUUUUUGCAUAUUGAGGUAUCAUUUGCACACAGUACAAUGCACACUUUUCUAGUAUAUAAUUUGAUGAGUGUGGUGUGUACUCAUGUAACCAGGUUAGAAUAUUCCACCCUUUACAAAGUUUCCUCAGGCCCUUUGCAUUGGAUCAACAUCCUCCUGUUCCCAGCCCCUGACAAACACUGAUCUGAGUUCUGCCUCUGUGGUUUUGUCUUUUUCACAAGGGCAUGAAAAUGGAAUCAUGUAGCGUGUGUUCCUCUGUGUCUAGUGUCCUGGCACACUGCCGCUGAGAGCACCCGUGCUACUGUGUGCAAGAGUAGCUGCUCCUUUUUACUACAGAAUAGCACUCCACAGCAGAGAGACUGCAAUUUGUUUUUCCACUCCCAGUGGAUGGACAUUGGCAUUGUUUUCAGUUUUUGUUUUUAUUGUGAAUAAAUCUGCUUUUAGAUGUUCAUAUACAGGACUUGCAUGAACAUAUGUUUUCAUUCCUCCUGAGUAAAUGCCUAGAAUAGUAUGCUGUGUUCUAUGUAAAGAUGGCAUCUAACUGUCCAGGGCACUGCCCAGCUGUCUUCUAAAGUAGGUUUCCGACAGGCGGUGUAUGGGUGGGUCUCGUGUUUUUAAUCUGCUCUGAUGAUCUCUGCCUUUUCAUUGGAAUAUUCAGACCGCUUAUGUUUUGUGUGAUCAUUGUUGUGGCAGUGUCCUAUUUGUCCUUUGUUCUUUUUUUCUCUUUUUCUGCCUUCUUUUGGAUUCAUCGAGCAUAUUUUUAUAAUUCCGUUGUAUGUAACCUGUGAGCUCACCAGUCAUCCCUUCCAGAGCUUCUGCAUUGAUUGCUCAGAGGCAGAGGGUGGAUGCUUUCCCCUCACUAGGAUGCACAGGUCUCUGCUUGGGAUCUGGGGCUGAGGAGGGUUUCCUGCCCUCUCAGCAGUUUGCAGCUUCCAUUUUACGUUGGAGAAGGUGAAGGAGUUAGGCUGGGUCCUGCCGUGUCCUCCGGGGUCAUUCCUGGGUCUCCUGCUCUUUCCUUCCCCUCUAGUGAGAACAAGCAGUUGUUGCAGGCACGUGGAGAGAGCUGGAGAGUGAGACAGGCUCCCCUUGUGUCUGGGGUCUGCAGGGAGUCCAAGCCAGCACCCUAGCCUCUCUUCUGCCUUUAGGAACUCAUAAAACCUUUGGCUGCAUUCUUCUUAUCCACUUCUAGGGCCACAUUGCUUUCGUCUAGAAUCGUCUGAGACUCUGUGUUGCUUUGUUUUGUUUAAUGCAAGAAGCAAGGGGCAGAUGGUAUGAUGUUAACAGAUGGAGAAGAAGCUGGAAUGACUCAAUUUCUACUUUCUUUUCCAUCUCCUUUAUGUAAAUAUGGUCUUCAAACAGAAAGGGCAGAGCAAACUUGAGAGAACUGAAAUCUCAAAUAGAAAGUAAUAUGUGGCAUCUGCUGUCUAUAAGGAAGUUUAAGCUGUGAGACCCAGAAGAUCUAAAAGAUCUUAGAAAUGAGAUGGCCAAGCCCUUGGAGGUAAUCCCUGUGGAAUCUUGAGGAAUGAGAGAAGACAGCAGAACAAAAGAGAUGGACAGAUGGUGUGGCCUUCGAGAUGGGAAUAAGGUUGCAUGGAGACCACAGAUGAGUGAACGCUGUCUAUCUGUGGACAAUUUUAGUUUAGAUGUAAAAAGAUGUCUUGGAAAAUUCUAGAAACGAAAGCAACAAGCAUUGGCUCACUUAAACAGCCAUGCCAAGGUGACCUCAUUUCCUGUGCGAACAGGCUUGGGAGGUGUGGGAGCUUCACUGCCUCUUAACUCCAGCCAGGCUCUCAGUCUCCCUGAGGACAAGAUGGAGAAAUGUAGGUUAGAAAUAAUUCACACACCUGAAUAUUCACACACCUGAGUAACUGUUCAGAGCUGGCUGAACAGUUAUAUCUGAUAGGGGUAUGUCGACUCUGAAGAUUUCUGGCUUGUCCUGGGGCUUAAUCCUUGGACCUAUUUUAUUCAACAUUGAUUGUCAAUGCUCUGAAUCAUGAUGCCCAUCACUAUCCCCCUGAAGAACUCACCAGCUCUUUCCCCAGGUGUGUGGGGAUCCGAACUGAAGAGCGCUUUCCAGGAGACACACUUCGCUGUCCACACAGAGACCAGGACGCAUUCGUGGACUCACUUGCCCUAACUUCUGUCAUGCUGCUUGCAACGCACGGCCAAUCCCAGCAUGAAUGAAGCCAGCAAGACUUUUCUUGGUGUUUGUUGAGUGGGAUUCUGGUGCCUCCUGUGCAGAUCCACUUUUUACAAAAUUAUGUUGACAUCUUGCUUAUAGGCCUCAAAAAACUCUGAGUGAGAUGCGCUGGUUUGCCUUUGGAACAUAGGAUAGGCACUGUUAUCAGAAUCUGCUGCAAUCUCAUACCAAAUUGGAAUGUUUUCCCUUUAUAGCAUUUUUAAAACUUUUCCCACAAAAUAACAGCAUUGCACCGUGUCACGUUAUAUUUAAUUGCAUAAUGUCAGCCUCCCUUAAAAGAAAGUUGAAAAGAUUAUACUUUGAAAUAGUAAUCGUGGGGAAAUGCCUGACUUGAGGAGUUCAGCAGUUGUAAAUAUUCCUGCAACAUUAAUUGGUCAAUAAAUAUAUGCUGACUGGG